UACAGGGGGGGCAAGCGUUGUUCGGAAUUACUGGGCGUAAAGGGCGCGUAGGCGGCCUGCUAAGUCGAACGUGAAAUCCCUGGGCUCAACCCAGGAACUGCGUCCGAUACUGGUUGGCUUGAAUCCGGGAGAGGGACGUGGAAUUCCAGGUGUAGCGGUGAAAUGCGUAGAUAUCUGGAGGAACACCGGUGGCGAAGGCGACGUCCUGGACCGGUAUUGACGCUGAGGCGCGAAAGCCAGGGGAGCAAACGGG
This 253-nucleotide ribosomal RNA is filed under the name uncultured bacterium. RNAcentral describes it as "partial 16S ribosomal RNA". It matches the Rfam family "Bacterial small subunit ribosomal RNA", at positions 524 to 776 of the family's 1533-position model. The record is from RNAcentral.